CUGGCGGUGUGCUUCACACAUGCAAGUCGAACGAGGUAGCAAUACCUAGUGGCGGACGGGUGAGUAACGCGUGGGAAUCUGCCUUUAGAUGGGGGAUAACGGGUCGAAAGACUCGCUAAUACCGCAUAUGACGAAAGUUGAAAGGAGUAAUCCGUCUAAAGAUGAGCCCGCGUCCGAUUAGCUAGUUGGUAGAGUAAAAGCCUACCAAGGCGACGAUCGGUAGCUGGUCUGAGAGGAUGAUCAGCCACAAUGGGACUGAGACACGGCCCAUACUCCUACGGGAGGCAGCAGUGGGGAAUUUUACGCAAUGGGCGAAAGCCUGACGUAGCGACACCGCGUGAGCGAAGAAGCCCCUUGGGGUGUAAAGCUCUGUCAGCUGGAACGAAAAAAAUGACGGUACCAGCAGAGGAAGCAUCGGCUAACUACGUG
This 429-nucleotide ribosomal RNA is filed under the name uncultured bacterium. RNAcentral's name for it is "bacterial SSU rRNA". It matches the Rfam family "Bacterial small subunit ribosomal RNA", at positions 36 to 507 of the family's 1533-position model. The record is from RNAcentral.